Molecule: long non-coding RNA, 1895 nt
Filed under: Pan troglodytes (chimpanzee)
Lineage: Eukaryota; Metazoa; Chordata; Mammalia; Primates; Hominidae
Description: long non-coding RNA NONPTRT003682
Source: RNAcentral
CUUUAUUGGCAUAAAUCACAGGAAUUGAAAUGGGAAAAGCCAGGUUGGAAGUUUACAGAGAAAAAAUAAAAUCAAAAUCAAAUUUUCAAAUAACCAUUGACUCAGAGAAUGGACCCCAGAAACCCCAGUCCCUCUUGGGGAAGAUCUAGGGUGGGUCACUAUAAACAGAGCGGUAAGGCCUGUGGGUGAAAGUGGAGACAUCAGACCUUUGGAGGGGCCGGGCUGACCUUCCCCCACAAAGGAGGGACCCUCUUUGGAGACCCCAGCACACACUCGGCUUCUGCCAGGAGGCCAGUGGAGUGGUUUGGACUGUCACCGUUAGACCCCGGUGGGGCCCCUUUCUCCUGAUCAGGAGCCCAAGGCCUGGCUCCUCUUUCAUCCUUGGUAAAGAGCUCUGGGGGGUUUCCCCAGAGGAGCCUGUCCCUCUGCCCCAAAUCCUAUCAUGCUCCCUUAUGACCUUCUUUCCAGACCCCCUGAGUGCCGAUCCCACCUGUGAAAGGGGAGGAGCAGAUCUGGGGAAGGGAUAUGCCCAGAGGAAAUCAACAAGACCAAAGAGACGUCAGAGUCCUGAUGGCCAAAAUCAGACACCAGCUUUCCUGAGAAGGCAGAAGAGAGAGCCCCAUAGAAGCAGUGGGGGCUCAGAAGAAACAGAACAGAUGAAGUUCAGAAUUCUAGGCCCAAAAGGGUGCAACACCCUUCAACCAGUUUCAGUGAAGAGCUUGCUGGCCUGGGAAGUAAAGAAGGGGUUUCCAAAUACAGCAGUUUAUAAAACAGUCCUGGUGAGCUAUGAAGUGAAAGAGGGGGAGUCACAGAGCUGCUCCCAGUUCACCUGCUUGUGCUAAGAAACAAUAAAAUACAAAUUGCUUCCCCACCCCAACCCUCAGUACAAAGCAAACUUCACACCAGAGCCACCAUCAGUGACAGGCCCAGUGGCGGUGGAUGAGGAAGAGAAUACAAAAGGGAACGUCUUUAAAAUCUCUUUAAAAUCAUUUUCUAUAGAGAAGUCAAAGCAACUCAGGCGAUAUGAAUUCAAACCUCAGUGUAGAAAUCUAUCAAAGUCGGUACAGUGUCCAGGCACGCCGUCCCGGAGACGGAGGAAGUGACUAGAAAACAUUAUUGCUGGAGAGGCUUUUCUCAGUAGAACAAGAGCAGGUAUAAAAGGGGAGGGCGGGUCUAAAAGGCAGGGGCAGUCGCCAGGCCUAGGGCACUGGAAGGGUAGGAGGAGCACAGAGAACCUUCCAUGGCCCCUUUGGUUCUCUGCCUUUGGAUGGAUGGAUUUAUGCUGGCAUUGUCUGGAGGGAGCCGGGUGUCCCCCAAUAAUCACAGAACAAAGACAAUUAGGUCGGGGGAGGAAUAAGGAUAAAAAGAGACCCCAACAGACCCUGCCUGCCCUUCCCUGCCCACCGGCUGCACUGCUGAAAUAUGAGGAAGAGAUGGCUCCAGUGUGGGGUGCUGGCCAGGCCAGUUCGUGGGGACGUACAUGGGCUGGGGUGGAGCCCCCAGCCUCUACCCCUGGGGAGGAUGGAGAGUGGGCAGCCUAGGGAGAGCUGCAGGAGGGAGGAGGGGGCCCAGAGGCUCUGGCAGGGGUGAAGACAAGCAGGGGGACCCCUCACGGCCCUCUGUCCAUCCCGCACCAGCGGAGGACAAGGGUUCCAGUUUCAGUCGGGUUUACCCCUUCACCCCCGGGUGAAGUCUCUGGGUCACAGUCGCAGUUGGGGAUGCGGGCUGGGGAAGUGGGGCAGAGACAGGGGCAGGGCGCCUAGCAGAAGAGCUUGAGGAAGCAGUUCUGACAGUAAGGCUUGUCGUUCUGCUCCUUGAAGGUGCCCUUGUUGAGCUGCUUGAGGCAGAAGGCACAGACGAAGUGCUCGGGGUGGAACUUCUUGGCCAUGGCGGUG